This 301-nucleotide ribosomal RNA is filed under the name uncultured bacterium. RNAcentral's name for it is "partial 16S ribosomal RNA". It matches the Rfam family "Bacterial small subunit ribosomal RNA", at positions 509 to 807 of the family's 1533-position model. The record is from RNAcentral.
CAGCCGCCGCGGUAAUACGAAGGGUGCAAGCGUUAAUCGGAAUUACUGGGCGUAAAGCGUGCGUAGGCGGUGAGUUAAGUCUGCUGUGAAAUCCCCGGGCUCAACCUGGGAAUGGCAGUGGAUACUGGCUCGCUAGAGUGUGUCAGAGGGUGGUGUAAUUCCCGGUGUAGCAGUGAAAUGCGUAGAGAUCGGAAGGAACAUCUGUGGCGAAGGCGACUAUCUGGGCCAACACUGACACUGAGGCACGAAAGCGUGGGGAGCAAACAGGAUUAGAUACCCCGGUAGUCCCUGUCUCUUAUAC